GUGCUCGCUUCGGCAGCACAUAUACUAAAAUUGGAAUGGUACAGAGAUUAGCAUGGCCCCUGCACAAGGAUGACACACAAAUUUGUGACGCAUUCCAUAUUUUU
This 104-nucleotide small nuclear RNA is filed under the name Moschus moschiferus (Siberian musk deer). The record is from RNAcentral. Lineage: Eukaryota; Metazoa; Chordata; Mammalia; Artiodactyla; Moschidae.